ACGGAGGGCGCAAGCGUUAUCCGGAUUUAUUGGGCGUAAAGCGUACGUAGGCGGCUUGAUAAGUCGGUGGUGAAAGCCCUCGGCUUAACCGGGGAACUGCCUUUGAUACUGUUUGACUUGAGUACGGGAGAGGUUGGCGGAAUUCCGAGUGUAGGGGUGAAAUCCUUAGAUAUCCGGAGGAACACCGGUGGCGAAGGCGGCCACCUGGACAGGUACUGACGCUGAGGUGCGAAAGCGUGGGGAGCAAACAG
This 251-nucleotide ribosomal RNA is filed under the name uncultured prokaryote. Its description in RNAcentral is "partial 16S rRNA". It matches the Rfam family "Bacterial small subunit ribosomal RNA", at positions 525 to 775 of the family's 1533-position model. The record is from RNAcentral.